ACUCCUACGGGAGGCAGCAGUGGGGAAGUCUUAGACAAUAGGGCGGCAAGCCUGAUCUAGCCAUGCCGCGUGAGUGAUGAAGGCCUUAGGGUCGUAAAGCUCUUUCGCCAGGGAUGAUAAUGACAGUACCUGGUAAAGAAACCCCGGCUAACUCCGUGCCAGCAGCCGCGGUAAUACGGAGGGGUUAGCGUUGUUCGGAAUUACUGGGGCGUAAAGCGCGCGUAGGCGGAUUAGUCAGUUAGAGGUGAAAUCCCAGGGCUCAACCCUGGAACUGCCUUUAAUACUGCUAGUCUUGAGUUCGAGAGAGGUGAGUGGAAUUCCGAGUGUAGAGGUGAAAUUCGUAGAUAUUCGGAGGAACACCAGUGGCGAAGGCGGCUCACUGGCUCGAUACUGACGCUGAGGUGCGAAAGUGUGGGGAGCAAACAGGAUUAGAUACCCUGGUAGGAUAGCG
This 451-nucleotide ribosomal RNA is filed under the name uncultured bacterium. RNAcentral's name for it is "bacterial SSU rRNA". It matches the Rfam family "Bacterial small subunit ribosomal RNA", at positions 335 to 799 of the family's 1533-position model. The record is from RNAcentral.